UUCCUACGGGAGGCAGCAGUGGGGAAUAUUGCACAAUGGGGGAAACCCUGAUGCAGCAACGCCGCGUGAGUGAUGACGGCCUUCGGGUUGUAAAGCUCUGUCUUCAGGGACGAUAAUGACGGUACCUGUGGAGGAAGCCACGGCUAACUACGUGCCAGCAGCCGCGGUAAUACGUAGGUGGCGAGCGUUGUCCGGAUUUAUUGGGUUUAAAGGGUGCGUAGGCGGAUCGUUAAGUCAGUGGUCAAAUUGGGGGGCUCAA
This 259-nucleotide ribosomal RNA is filed under the name uncultured bacterium. Its description in RNAcentral is "partial 16S ribosomal RNA". It matches the Rfam family "Bacterial small subunit ribosomal RNA", at positions 336 to 612 of the family's 1533-position model. The record is from RNAcentral.